ACGGGAGGCAGCAGUGGGGGAUAUUGCACAAUGGAGGAAACUCUGAUGCAGCAACGCCGCGUGAGGGAAGAAGGUUUUCGGAUUGUAAACCUCUGUUUUUAGUGACGAAACAAAUGACGGUAGCUAAAGAGGAAGCCACGGCUAACUACGUGCCAGCAGCCGCGGUAAUACGUAGGUGGCAAGCGUUGUCCGGAAUUACUGGGUGUAAAGGGUGCGCAGGCGGGACUGUAAGUUGGAUGUGAAAUACCGAGGCUUAACCUCGGAGCUGCAUCCAAAACUGCGGUUCUUGAGUGAAGUAGAGGUAGGCGGAAUUCCGAGUGUAGCGGUGAAAUGCGUAGAUAUUCGGAGGAACACCAGUGGCGAAGGCGGCCUACUGGGCUUUAACUGACGCUGAGGCACGAAAGCAUGGGGAGCAAACAGGAUUAGAUACCCUGGUA
Molecule: ribosomal RNA, 437 nt
Filed under: uncultured Clostridium sp.
Lineage: Bacteria; Bacillati; Bacillota; Clostridia; Eubacteriales; Clostridiaceae
Also listed under: 1 other name
Description: partial 16S ribosomal RNA
Rfam family: Bacterial small subunit ribosomal RNA
Source: RNAcentral